Molecule: transfer-messenger RNA, 389 nt
Filed under: Cyanobacteria bacterium J007
Lineage: Bacteria; Bacillati; Cyanobacteriota
Also listed under: 1 other name
Rfam family: transfer-messenger RNA
About the family: Bacterial tmRNA, also known as 10Sa RNA or SsrA, is named for its dual tRNA and mRNA-like properties.
Source: RNAcentral
GGGGCCGUACUGGUUUCGACAAGUUGGUGAAAUCCAACCCGUGAUUCAGGCCGAGAGUGAGUCUCCUCUCGUAAAUCCAAGACUCAAACAAAAAAGUAAAUGCGAACAACAUUGUUCCUUUCGCUCGCAAGGCAGUUGCUGUUGCCUAAAACUUCUCUAUAAGUUUGAGCGGUCUGUGGUUCGACUCCGUUAAGAGCUGCGGACAAAACCCCAACGGAUGCCCUAGCAACCUUUCUCUGGUUGAUUGCUAGUUAAGACUAAACCAGUGCAUCCCGCCACUAGGGAUAAUUAGUGGUCCCCGCCUGGAGGGUAACCCGGGCUAAGCCUGUGAACGAGCGGUAGGCCACUACCCAGCUUGGACAGCAGUUCGAUUCUGCUCGGCUCCAUAA